GUGGCGCCCCAGCGAAGGGGCAGUGCUGGCCACUCGUGUGGCCCUUUGGCUGCUGGCACCCAGUGAGAGGGGGGAGGCCAGGGACAGGUGGCAGCCAGGCUGCCCACAGGCCCUGGGCGGUGGGGGCCCGGCCCCUGUGCCUUGGGCAGCCUGGCCCUUGCUGAGGCGUGCUUGCGCGUGUCCGUUGUCGCCCUCACCCAGCUGCUGGGCGGAGAGACGGAGGCCAGCGCGGGGAGCGGAAGCCGGAGCCUGUCGGGAGCGACCCCGGGAAGGCCAGUCCCUCCUGCCGGAGGGAGGCGUGUUGGCGUGCGGCCGGUGGCGGGAUCGAUGGCCACCUGCUGCUGCGGCGGAGAAACGGAGGCCAGCGCGGGGAGCGGAAGCCGGAGCCUGUCGGGAGCGACCCCGGGAAGGCCAGUCCCUCCUGCCGGAGGGAGGCGUGUUGGCGUGCGGCCGGUGGCGGGAUCGAUGGCCACCUGGUAGGCGAUGGUAAGCGGCAGUGGCCUGCGCCAAGGUAGCCCCCGGGGGCGGUGUGUGGCGCCCGGACCCGCACCCUCUGCUCCCGGGGUGGAGCUGACCUGCUUGCCCGCGGUUGGGCUCGGGAGCCUGCGGGCCGCGGCCAGGAGGGAGCUGGCUGGCCGUCCCGGCGGUGGGGCUGUGGCGGUGGCCGUCCCGCGGGUGUGCCCGUGCUCGGAUCGAUGAUGACACCCACAAACGCAUUCCUUGGAAAAUCUGAACAAAAUGAGUGAGAACUCACUACCGUCUCCUCAUCGCAAACUGAGGUCCGGCACGUGGCUCCCACAGGGGACGUCGGGGAGGGUCCCGUUGCCUUGGCUCCCUUGGGUGCGUGCAGCCCUGGGGCGCAGGUGGGGGCAGGCAGG
RNAcentral lists this long non-coding RNA (878 nucleotides) under Sus scrofa (pig). RNAcentral's name for it is "lncRNA (ENSSSCG00070004859.1)". The stretch from base 690 to 783 matches the Rfam family "Small nucleolar RNA SNORD116". Lineage: Eukaryota; Metazoa; Chordata; Mammalia; Artiodactyla; Suidae. The record is from RNAcentral.